This 510-nucleotide ribosomal RNA is filed under the name uncultured bacterium. RNAcentral's name for it is "partial 16S ribosomal RNA". It matches the Rfam family "Bacterial small subunit ribosomal RNA", at positions 28 to 523 of the family's 1533-position model. The record is from RNAcentral.
GACGGACGCUGGCGGCGUGCCUAACACAUGCAAGUGGAGCGACGAACCAGGGCUUGCCCUGGGGCAAAGCCGCGAACGGGUGAGUAACACGUGGGUAACCUGCCCCGAUGACCGGGACAACCCGAGGAAACUCGGGCUAAUACCGGAUGUGCUCCUCACACAUCAGUGUGUGGAGUAAAGGAAGCUUCGGCCUCCGCUUCGGGAGGGGCCCGCGGCCCAUUAGCUAGUUGGUGAGGUAACGGCUCACCAAGGCAACGAUGGGUAGCUGGUCUGAGAGGACGAUCAGCCACACUGGGACUGAGACACGGCCCAGACUCCUACGGGAGGCAGCAGUGGGGAAUCUUGCGCAAUGCGCGAAAGCGUGACGCAGCAACGCCGCGUGGGGGAAGAAGGUUUUCGGAUCGUAAAACUCUGUUGGUAGAGAAGAACGUUGGUGAGAGUGGAAAGCUCAUCAAGUGACGGUAACUACCCAGAAAGGGACGGCUAACUACGUGCCAGCAGCCGCGGUAA